This 852-nucleotide ribosomal RNA is filed under the name uncultured bacterium. Its description in RNAcentral is "bacterial SSU rRNA". It matches the Rfam family "Bacterial small subunit ribosomal RNA", at positions 596 to 1460 of the family's 1533-position model. The record is from RNAcentral.
GAAAUUUUGCAGCUUAACUGUAAAAGUGCCGUUGAUACUGUGAGGCUAGGAUUUGGUUGCUGUGGGUGGAAUGUGUGGUGUAGCGGUGAAAUGCUUAGAGAUCACACAGAAUAUCGAUUGCGAAGGCAGCUCACAAAGCCAAGAUUGACGCUGAGGCACGAAAGUGUGGGGAUCAAACAGGAUUAGAUACCCUGGUAGUCCACACUGUAAACGAUGAUAACUCGCUGUCGGCGAUAUACAGUCGGUGGCCAAGCGAAAGCGAUAAGUUAUCCACCUGGGGAGUACGACCGCAAGGUUGAAACUCAAAGGAAUUGACGGGGGCCCGCACAAGCGGAGGAACAUGUGGUUUAAUUCGAUGAUACGCGAGGAACCUUACCCGGGCUCGAACGGUGCAGGAAUAUGGUAGAGAUAUCAUAGCUAGCAAUAGUCUGUAUCGAGGUGCUGCAUGGUUGUCGUCAGCUCGUGCCGUGAGGUGUCGGCUUAAGUGCCAUAACGAGCGCAACCCUUGUCAUUAGUUACCAUCAGGUCAAGCUGGGGACUCUAAUGAGACUGCCACCGUAAGGUGAGAGGAAGGGGGGGAUGACGUCAAAUCAGCACGGCCCUUAUGUCCGGGGCGACACACGUGUUACAAUGGGGGGUACAGAGGGCAGCCAUCCGGCGACGGAGCGCCAAUCUCAAAAACCCUUCUCAGUUCGGAUUGGAGUCUGCAACCCGACUCCAUGAAGUUGGAUUCGCUAGUAAUCGCGCAUCAGCCAUGGCGCGGUGAAUACGUUCCCGGGCCUUGUACACACCGCCCGUCAAGCCAUGGAAGCUUGGGGUGCCUGAAGUUCGUGACCGCAAGGAGCGACCUAG